RNAcentral lists this ribosomal RNA (497 nucleotides) under uncultured bacterium. RNAcentral's name for it is "partial 16S ribosomal RNA". It matches the Rfam family "Bacterial small subunit ribosomal RNA", at positions 28 to 507 of the family's 1533-position model. The record is from RNAcentral.
GAUGAACGCUGGCGGCGUGCCUAAUACAUGCAAGUCGAGCGAACGGACGAGAAGCUUGCUUCUCUGAUGUUAGCGGCGGACGGGUGAGUAACACGUGGAUAACCUACCUAUAAGACUGGGAUAACUUCUGGAAACCGUAGCUAAGACCGGAUAAUAUUUUGAACCGCAUGGUUCAAAAGUGAAAGACGGUCUUGCUGUCACUUAUAGAUGGAUCCGCGCUGCAUUAGCUAGUUGGUAAGGUAACGGCUUACCAAGGCAACGAUGCAUAGCCGACCUGAGAGGGUGAUCGGCCACACUGGAACUGAGACACGGGCCAGACUCCUACGGGAGGCAGCAGUAGGGAAUCUUCCGAAAAGGGCGAAAGCCUGACGGAGCAACGCCGCGUGAGUGAUGAAGGUCUUCGGAUCGUAAAACUCUGUUAUUAGGGAAGAACAUAUGUGUAAGUAACUGUGCACAUCAUGACGGUACCUAAUCAGAAAGCCACGGCUAACUACGUG